Toxotes jaculatrix (banded archerfish) is the source of this 458-nucleotide long non-coding RNA. RefSeq lists it as uncharacterized. The record is from RefSeq and is a predicted model, not a curated record. Lineage: Eukaryota; Metazoa; Chordata; Actinopteri; Toxotidae. The transcript has 3 exons.
AGAAAACGCAUGGGAAAAAAUCACUGCUCGAGUCAAUGCGUGCAACCCAGGGGGCGAAAAACGGACUUGGAGGCAGUUGAAAAUGAAAUAUAAAAAUAUAAUUCAAUCAGCCAACAGAAAGAGGGCAGAGGCCCGUAAAACAGGUGGAGGACCUGCACCACCACCUCUAACAGAGGCAGAGGAGAGGGCCCUUAGCCAAACAACAGGAAGGCCCAUGGCUGAGGGAAUCCCAGGGGGCAGCUCAUCUGAACCAGUCAGCCCUGAGGACACAAGUGCCUUCAUAACAUGUAACAAGUCCACACUUCUAUAUUGUUUUUUUUAUGAAGCCUCUUUUAGAUGCAAAAGCUGUUUGUUCCUGAAUCCAAUAGAUUCUGAGGGAAGUCUCCACCUAUUGGAGCCUCAUGUGGCCCAACUCCAGCCUGUUGUAAGUACCUCAACACACCAUAACCCCAUAACCA